Molecule: ribosomal RNA, 460 nt
Filed under: uncultured bacterium
Lineage: Bacteria
Description: partial 16S ribosomal RNA
Rfam family: Bacterial small subunit ribosomal RNA
Source: RNAcentral
CCUACGGGAGGCAGCAGUGAGGAAUAUUGGUCAAUGGGCGCGAGCCUGAACCAGCCAAGUAGCGUGAAGGAUGACUGCCCUACGGGUUGUAAACUUCUUUUAUAAAGGAAUAAAGUGAGGCACGCGUGCCUUUUUGUAUGUACUUUAUGAAUAAGGAUCGGCUAACUCCGUGCCAGCAGCCGCGGUAAUACGGAGGAUCCGAGCGUUAUCCGGAUUUAUUGGGUUUAAAGGGUGCGUAGGCGGCCUUUUAAGUCAGCGGUGAAAGUCUGUGGCUCAACCAUAGAAUUGCCGUUGAAACUGGGGGGCUUGAGUAUGUGUGAGGCAGGCGGAAUGCGUGGUGUAGCGGUGAAAUGCUUAGAUAUCACGCAGAACCCCGAUUGCGAAGGCAGCCUGCCGGGCCUUGACUGACGCUGAUGCACGAAAGCGUGGGGAUCAAACAGGAUUAGAUACCCUGGUAGUC